Acanthosepion pharaonis is the source of this 101-nucleotide non-coding RNA. The record is from the annotation of a GenBank genome assembly. NCBI's taxonomy places the organism in Eukaryota, Metazoa, Mollusca, Cephalopoda, Sepiida, Sepiidae.
CAUUAAAACACACUGUUCCCAUCCAAUCACUGAAGUUAAGCAACAUUGAGUCUAGUCAGUACCUAGAUGAGUGACCACUUGAGAAUACCAGGUGCUGUAAU